Molecule: ribosomal RNA, 101 nt
Filed under: Periophthalmus magnuspinnatus
Lineage: Eukaryota; Metazoa; Chordata; Actinopteri; Gobiiformes; Gobiidae
Source: RNAcentral
AGCCUUGGCCAAACCUCCUGUUCAAAGCCUGAAGUGAAUCAAGGCUGGGCCUGGUCAGUACUGGGAUGGGAGACCACUGGGAAUACCACGUGCCAUGUGUC